RNAcentral lists this long non-coding RNA (39245 nucleotides) under Musa acuminata (dwarf banana). RNAcentral's name for it is "long non-coding RNA (MACU_LNC003932)". Lineage: Eukaryota; Viridiplantae; Streptophyta; Magnoliopsida; Zingiberales; Musaceae. The record is from RNAcentral.
AUAUUAUUCAAAGCCAAUUCAAACCCUACUGCAGAUUAUAUAUCUCUAUAUAGACGCAGCCGGCUCUCGUAAACCCUACCAAGAACACUACUGCCAGGACCCUUAGCAGCCUCCGGGAGAGAGAGAGAGAGAGAGGAAGGAAGCAGCGAUUGACGGCGAUCGCGUCCUUCGCCCUGCGGCGUCUAGCGGCAGCGGAGGCGGUCCGGGUGAUGUUCCUCGCGCGAGCAGCCUCGUUGGCCGGUCCGGCCCUCUCCCGGUGCCUUUGCUCAUCACUCGACCUUCACCGUCCGAUCGCGCGCCUCCUACCGCCUGUUUACGAGCCCUCACGUGGCUUCGCGCGGGGCCGGGAGGCCAUCCCGAGCGACUUCGAGGAAGAGGAUUCGGACGACGAGGAGGACCUGGACCAUCUCGACGAGGCCUUUGACGGCGAGAACGAUAUCGAUGAGGAUUGGAGCGAGUUCGACGGCAACGAUUCGAGGGAAGAGUCCGAUUGAUUCACGAGUUGAUGGUGUGGUCUCCGGAAAAAACGGUAGGAAUCAUGGCUUUCUCUGUGCAGUUAUUGAUCACAAAAGGGCAAAAGGAGACUCUUUUACGGUGAUUGAUCGAUAAAUCGAUUUCAUUUUUCGGUAGAUGAAUUGAUAUCUCUGUUUGCACUUACUAAACUAUUGGUUCUUUAGCUGAUGGUUUCCCUCUGCUGUCAGUCUUCCAAAUCUUUUCUCACAAGGUAAUGGUGAGCAAUCGAUCUCUGCAACCACCGAUCACCCAAUUUUUCACAAAUGCCUUCAAAUUUGAAAGGAAAUAAAAUAAAAACAUAUAAGGAUUUUAGCACAUAUCGGAACAAUGAAACAUACAUGUACCGUGAUACAAUAUAAACUUUACAUAAUAGGUUUCAAGUAUAUAAAUAAUAUAAAAAUAAAAGUAUAUAAGAAUUUAAAGCAUUAAUAUAAAGUCCAAUUGAAUAAAAAAUACUAGAUGAAAUCAAUUUUCAAGGAAAUGAAACAAGAAUAAGAAUAAGCGAAAUCGAUCAAAGCUCGAUUCUGAUAAAAUUUAAGGCACAUUGUAUAAAUUAUUUGAAUAACCAAUUAUAUUCCAAAUUACUUAAGAAUGAUAUCAUUUGAAAGAUAUUUCAAUCUACUUAUAGAUAAAAUAAGUUUCAUAUGAAUCAAAGUUUUUAAUAGAAAGUUACAAAUAAUUUGAUAAGCAAAGAUUAAUCUUUAUUUUGUAGAAUUCAUAGGUUCAGAUUCAAUAGAAAAUUAAAUAGGAAUUGGUAUUCUAAAUCUUUUAAUCUAGAUAUCAAAAGAAGGAUAUAUAAGUCUAGUUUCAGUUUUACAUAAAUAAGAGUUUCCAAUAAGGACUUCUAAUCAGUUUAAUAUCUUUUCCAAAUCUAUCUUAAACAUCACAAGGUGGUUCUUCUCCUUCCCAAAAAACAUAGAGUGGGCUACCUCCUAGCCAAUCAAAAUAUUAUUAUAGAUGCUACAGCUUGAGAGGAAAGCUGACUGCUCAAUAAAAAUGUGAUCAUUCAAAAGGAAUUUAAUAGGAGGAACUUAACAAGAAUACGAUGAUAAUUGACACUACAAAAUGAAAUAGGAUAAAAAUCUAUGACACAUUUAUGAUUAGAUUUCUUUUAAAUGAAAACAAGGAAAGUCUUAACCUAUUCCUCGGGUAAGAUCGAAGUAUGAUAAAAACUAGCAAUGAUAAAAAAUAAGUGAUCCCCCGUAGUCUCCUAAUGAUGUUGGUAGAACUCCAUUAUAUACCCAUAUGGACCGAGGCUUUUUCCAAAGCUCAAGGACCUAACAGAAUCCUAUAUCUCCUACUUACUAAAAUGACAAAUAGUAUUAUCACUUUGAACAUCCAAAAUACUCAUUGCACCCAUCUCCCUGAUAAAAAAAUCAUCAACAACAGCUCUACCAUCACUCCACAAGAAUCAUACAAAUCAUUACCUCCUUUCUUAUCCUCCCUACUCAAAAUACAAUUAAAACCCCCAAAAUCUAAUACCAAGGGAGAUAUGAAAAAUCCAUAGAAGAAAGCUCAUUCUAGAAUAAUUUUCAACAAGAUACAUUCAUACUUGCAUAAAUCACCAAAAGAAGCCAAGGUUUCGAUUGAAAAGCCAGCCUGGAUAAGAACAAACAAUGGAGCAAGAAAACCUGGGUGUGCAAGUGGCUGGAAUCCCAAAUCAAAAUAGUUCCACCGGAAGCUCCUACGAUCGAUUGUACAUUGUACUUCCAAUGCCUCCCAAAACUCACAAUAACUCUCUUCAAAAGAAGCAAGGAAGUGUUUCUUUUCAUCGAUUAAUCUCCUAAGAUAAAUCAUAUACACAACCCUACGAACCAAACUCCUAUAGUUCCAACCAAUAAUUAUCAUCUAAGUUGAAUAACAAUAGGAAAGAAAAAUCACACACCUCUCUCGGUCCAUGUGCACCGUCGAUGUAUCACCCUCCAACUAAGGUCAGGCUCAUAUGUUUUGAGGUUUCUUUUGGAGUGCUUAGGAAUAAGACCUUAUUUGGGCAUUGGCCACAGUCAUACAUGUCACAAUCUUUGUGAAAGCAGAGGAGGUCAAGGUAGCAAGCGAGGUCGCCUUGUCAUUGUUCUGGUUCUCAGGCAAAUGAAGUGCAAAUGAGGGGAGGGUUCCCCCAUCUCCCAAAGAAUUCAUAUAUAUAUAUAUAUAUAUAUGAAUUCUUAGAGAAAACUCAUUUUUAAGAAAAAAAAUCCCAGUUAGUGCCCCAAUUUUCAAAAAUUUCAGCUAAAUGUAUUUUUUUUUCAAAAUGAUAAUAUUACACCUGUCGAUCACCACCUUCCCCAAUACCAUCGCCCUCACUGGACUUGUCCAUGCGUGUCUCGCCUUUAUCGUUCUCACUAGUGACAUAAGCAACCGAUAACCUCUGUCGCCCUAACUUAUCUCCCCUAUACUCUAUCAGACCCACCCCUACGUGUCUCGCCCUCAUCAUCCUUGGCAUAGACAACAAACGAUGGAGAUACAUGAAUGAUAUGUGAGAUAAAUUUUGGCUAUGUUAAUAGAUCAUAUGUUAAUUCUACCGGUUCGAGGAGAUUCCUGUAACAAUAUCAACCUUGCGGAUUUAACUAUUUGUUGUUCUUUUGUUGCUCGUGCAUUUUUUGUUAUUCUUAGGAUUUAUACCCAUUAUGGUCAUGUGAAAUAAUUCUAGCAUAGUUACAUUGCUCUGGCAUUGGAACAGAGGUUAAUAAUUUAGUUAUCAGUUAGUUGUCAGAUUAGUAUCUUUUUACAAGAAAUCUUUACCCGGUAGCAAUGCUACUGUAGCUGUAAGUUGGUCAUUACCACAAAGGUGCUUGUGUUCUUAAUGUGCAUGCUUUAUGGAUCAAAUUCACUUGUGUCAGCAUAUUAUUAUUUUGAGUGUUUUUCCUCUCCCCAGAGAAUGACCUCGUGAUGAUGACAGAGGGUUUGAAUCAACUUUAAUGUCGAGCUCUGCCUCCGAUAUGAAGAAAUGGUGAACAUGAACCAACAUGAAAAGAUAAAAAGGUUUUGUUACACCAUAGAGGAUUUAAUGCUGAUCCUAUUUGAAUUUUUUAUGUCAUGUGUCUUUAAAUUCUAUCUAAUAGCAAUCAUGAUAGUGAGUGCCAAAUUAAAAAAGAGGAAACAAAUGUAGUUAGAUAAGGGAUUUGGAGGUUAUCUCACGUUCACUAACUCGGGUUCAUGUUCAAAGCUUCUCACUAGACAUUUAUUUGAAUAUUAUCAAAGAGAACAGAGAGUGACAGACACCCCCUUCCCUUCGAGGAGGCUAAGUGAAAGGUUAUAGGCAGAGUUGGUUUAGAAGCAAGCUUCAAGAGAACGAAGCUGUGUUCGCAAGUGGAACGAGUUCAAGAACGAUAACUCUACAAGAUGAGCUUUGGAGUUCAAGAACGACAACUCUUACAAGAACGAAGCUUUGUGAUAACGAAGUACAAACAAGUAAAUCUUGCAAUCGCAUGCACGUAGCAUUACCUAAAUAUAUAUAUGACUUUGUGGUGCAAAAUCCACAAACCUAAACAUCAUGAAAUCAUGAGAAAAUAACUAAUACUGGACUGCCCUAACAAAAUUACAGCCUCCAUUUAGUUAAUAGCACCAAAGUGGCGGCUCAAAAGAUAUCUUCUUUGGCACAACCAAGGCAAAUAUUGCUCAUUACAGAAAACCAGGAGUUUAGCCAUGCCAUAUGCUCAUGUUUGUUGGAGAAAGAACUCUGCCGGAUGCUCGUAGCACCGGUGAUGUCUCGAGUUACAAACUAUGAACAUAAAUCAUGAAAGAAAACCUCUGUUGCCUUAUUGAAUAUGCUGCUUAUGCCACAUUUUCUAUCUUCAGGAUCCAAACAAAGAGGGAAGAUGAAGGGCCAGCAGUGGAGUGCAUCAGGGAAACAUUAACACGGCAACAGAAGUUUGUGCAUAGACACCAGGAUUCAUGCUUUGCACACACUUGGUUACUUGCCAAAGAAAUGCCCACCAAUGUUCACAAAAGCAAACAGACAAUGGCCAUCGUGCACAAGAAUGAUGAUCAAACAUCGAGGUAAUAAUAAGAUCCUGCAGCUUUCUGUUCUCGGUCUUUGGUAGAGUCCAACUUGUUUAUCCUGGGCCUGUAAUUAGUUGGAUCUCGUCUGAAAGUGAUAUCAAGAUGCUGCAAAGAAGACAAACACAACUUCUUCAGCAAAAGGGAACAAGAUUAAGGGAGAGAAUCAAAGAAAUACUACUGACAUCGAAAAGCAUGUUCUAGAAUAGCACAAUUUAUUUAGCAAGAGAGCAGUUAAGUAUUACUAGUCGAUUCAAUUUAAAUGAGUAACCAUAACUUUGACAAUAAUGAAUCAGCAGUAAGUCGAGAAUGAUGCAAUAUGACAAUCAUACGGAAGAAAGAACAACUUUGUCGAUGUUCUUGUUUGAUCCCUCCAUCGUACAGUCUUAUAUUUAUCUUACAACACCAUGCAUGGAGUACAAAAAAAACAACAAGAAAGUCGUAAAGCCCCACCACCGUGCAUGGAGUGUAUUAAGCUAAUUAUCUUUCAUCUCUGUAAAUUGAUUUUUUCUUUCCAACUUCAAGAACAGCGUACAUAAAUAUGCUCUCAGCAAACGUAGCUCAACUGUGUUUCCACUUUCCAUGCAUCAUCAGUGAACCAAUGCCUCCCAGAACCACAUCUUAUUUAUGAAACUCCCCCUUGGUUGCGCCUCUAUCUUAGUCUUUUUUUAAUAUUUGCCACAUAAAUAAUAACUUCAAUUGCUCCAGCUGCAGUCUCAUCCUAGAAAAUGUGGAGCUCUUCUUUAUUUAACCUAGAUAUGUUGAAGACAACCAUAUGAAAUUGAGAUUUUACAAAAAUGAUUCAAAGAAAAAUGGAAUCUGGAUAGAAAACACUAAUCCCAUUCCAUGCCAAUUUUGCUAGUCCUUGGCAUCUCUUAGUGGAAUUUGUGAAGCACAGGGAUAAGACGGCCUUCAACAACCACUAACUUUAACAUUCAAGCUAAUUGGAGCCAAACCCUGGCUAAGAGCCUCAAAUCACAAAAAUCAAAUCAAUAAAUCAUACAAUCCUAACCAAUGUUUGACCCAAAGAUUAAAAUUUUGUACCGUACUGGUGUACCGAACUUUGCUCGGUACAAUACGAUACAGUGUACCAAGAGAUAUGCCGGGGCAUACCGAAUGGUACAACUAGAAAAAAUAUAUAUAAGAAUCAAUUUUAGUAUCGAGCGAUACUAUAUAUAUAUAUAUGUAUGUAUAUAUACAUGUACAUACAUGUAUAUAUAUAUAUAUAUAUAUAUAUAUAUAUAUAUAUAAGCCUUCGAUGGCAUUAUUCCACCCUAUCCCCAUCCUAUGUGCAUUGACGAAGACAAUCCAUCUAAGUCAUGAGAAGAGAGUGCCUGAAUGUGAAAUUAGGCAUACAGGAUCACUAAAAAAAGAUAUAAAAUAUAUAUUUUAAUAUAAAAAAUAUAAAAAUAAAAAAUCAAUAUAUAAAGAUAUACAAAGAUAAAGAUACGAUGUACUGAAUGAUCGCCUCGUCCUUCUUCUCCUCAUCAUCUCGUCUACGGCCUUCAAUGUCAAGGAGGUGGGGAGAAGAAAGACGACAUCAACAUCGGAAGGUUCUUCGUGCGGCGGCAGUGGACGAAGCAGGUUGUUCGGAGAUGAAGAAAGUCGGGGUCUUCGCCGCCUUCCUUGCGGCCGCCUCUUCCGCUACUCUCGCCGCCGCCUCCCUUGAUCCCCAUGCCUCCAGCUCCCCCUCCAAAGAGGUACAACUCUCCUCGCUAUUAGCUCCUGGAUCGGGAUCGUCGAGGGAGGGCGAUACCAAAUCGAGAUCGAGAAAGGGCGUCAAAGACAAGUUCGCUCCAAGGUACGACGGGCUUAGGUUCAUCGAGACGAUGGUGACAACGCAUUGGUGACUCCGCGGUACUCUUUCUCGACGCUUCUCCCUCUUCUUCCUCGCCUCGCCUCGCCUCGCCGUAGCCAGGCCGAUACCACCCGAAAGCGGGCGGUCCACGUGCCGAUCAGCUAGAGGACCAGUACGUACCGCCCGUACUGGGCGGUAUGAAACAAUAUUAAAAACCCUGGUUUGACGUAUCCCCCGAAAUCGUAUAAUCCAAAUAAAUCGCAUAAAACAUAUAAUCCUAUCGGUCUACUAGCUGUUGCGACAACCAGCCUAUUCCAGGCGAUCAAGUUUUGACAAGUAUAGGUGAUGUAUUGGCUGAUACAAUCAAAACUCAUGUUGUAUCAACUGAUGCAGGUCAUACGAUCGUAAUUUUGAACAAUACCAACCCAAAUCAAGUCAAGUUUGACACACACAAUCAAAUUGGCCAUUUGGGACUUUUUUGGGGAUCUAAAUUGACCUAUCCCCACUCUCUCAGUCACUCUCGUUCUCACUCUUGUUCACAUCCUUUCUCACACUCUCAUUUGUUAUUAAAGUUCCUAAUCAACGAUUAGUGGUAAUCAAACUAUUGAUUUGGAUAAAAGAGGGAUUGGAACUCGAGAUCUAGUGGAAUUUCUCUCCAAUUUAAAGGCAUCCUUUCUAGGUUUUAUUUAUCACUUUAUAUAAUUGGAGCCGUAUUAAUGCACAUUUACAAAGGUUAAACAUGAUUAAGAUCAUUCUCGUGUUAGUCCGAAUUAGGUCUAUUGUCUUCCAUUUAGGCCCAAAUUGGGAACAUUUGUUACGGUCAGUAACUGUUCAGCCGUGGCCCUGAGGUCGUCGCGGCUCGGUUCGGGUCCGGAAGGUGGUGAUCAAAGGAGGGGGAGUCUCCUCGAGCCCGCUGAGUCUCCAAAGGCGGUGAACUCCGAAGGCUUCGCACCUGCACCAAGGCCGGGUCGGGAUGCUCGACCCGACCCCUCCGACGAUUAAGUUAGCGAAAGAUGCGGAGGGGGUUUUAGGAGGAGAAACCUCCGAGCAGUAUUGGGUAUGUUGGGAGAGUCCCUUUUUGCUUAGGACUUAGGGGUAUUUAUAGAGGAGGUUAGCAUUACCUGAUUUGACCGCCUGCUGGGGUGAGGGGGUACCUCUGAUGGCGUCUGACGCGGCUGCUGGGGUCGCGUGGUGGAGCGGUUCGUAGCAGGGUAUGGGCGAGGGGCAGGUCAUUGUCCGGCCUUGUCGUGGUCAACCAUGCGGGGUCGGAGGUCGCCUCUCAACAGUGGGAGUUGUCAGGGCGGGUCUAGUUAGCGUUAUUGCUUUGGCCGGGGGCUGUCGUCACGGUGCGUCGUCUGGCCAUUAUUUUCCCUAUCAUAUUCCCCCCCCCGAAAAGGAGCCAUGCGUCGGUGGGGAAGGGAGCUCGAGGCAUGGCUGCGUCUCUUGGCAUCGAGGAGGUCCCAGGCGGCAGGCGGUGCAGAUCGUUUCACCUUGAUGGGGUUUUCGGGUGUGCCCACUGUGCUGGUGUGUCUCGAGCGUUGUGCGGCUGAGGAGCGGGUUGACCGCGCUGGGGCGCCUCGGGCAUUAAGCGACCGAGGGGGCCUCGGGCAUUACGCGACCGAGGAGGAAGGCCCAGGCGGGCUGGCCGCGCUGGGGCAGCCUCGGGCAUUAAGCGACCGAGGAGGCCUCGGGCAUUAAGCGACCGAGGAGGCCUCGGGCAUUACGCGACCGAGGGGGGCUCGGGCAUUACGCGGCCGAGGAGGUUGCCUCGGGCAUUGCGCGACCGAGGAGGAAGGCCCAGGCGGGCUGGCCGCGCUGGGGCGCCUCGGGCAUUAAGCGACCGAGGGGGCCUCGGGCAUUACGCGACCGAGGGGGCCUCGGGCAUUACGCGGCCGAGGAGGUUGCCUCGGGCAUUGCGCGACCGAGGAGGAAGACCCAGGCGGGCUGCGCCGGGUUUUUCUCUGGGGAAGGUCAAGGGGCCCGUUCCCUUUCGGCGUCCGCCGGGUUUCGAGCCUGAUAUGAUUAGGGCUAAGUGCGAUUAAUGCAUUUAAGUUUGUCUCGAUUACCGUCCCCGAGGCUGGUAUGAUGAGUGCCUUUGCCCGCGCUGCGCCGCAGCCUUCUGCCAUGUCGGACCGCAUUUAUUGCGAGGAGGCGCCUUUUUCCCCCCUGCAGUGGACUUCGGGAGAUGAGGGGUCGCCGCCUUCGGAUGCGGCCGGCUUAUAAGUAGCGUGAGGCAGGCUGUAAGGGUAAAAUCUUUUCCUCCGAACGCGUCGUACUGCCUUGUGUCUCCUCGCCCUGUCCGUGCCGACCGUCCUUCCCCUCCUUGCCGAAGGUCAGUAAGAAUGGCGUCCUCUUCUUCCUGCUCAUCUUCUUCUUCAUCAAAAGCCGGCGGGGCGGCGGCUUCGUCGGAUCCUGCGUCAUCGUCGGACGGGAAGGCGAUCAAGGCGCUUGAGGCCUUGAUGUGGCCCCACGAUCAUGACUCCACCGUGAGCGAGUCAGCGCUGAGUCUCCUCCGGGAUCGCUAUGGCGUCCCGGAGGAGUUUGUCCUUCAAGCUCCUGAGCCUGGCCAACGUGCAUACGAUCCAAUCCCUAGGGGUUUUGCCCUUACCCUUGAUGCUUUCGAAGCCGGGCUACGCCUCCCUCUGCACCCUGUCAUAGUUUCCUGCCUUUCCUGGUGGCGCAUCUCCCCUUCUCAAAUGGCGCCGAACUCGUGGCGCUAUCUGGCAGCGUUUUUAGGCGAGUGCCAUUACGCCGACAUACCCCCAACUCGUGCCCUCUUCCUAUCCUGCUUUCGUCUUUCCAAGGGGUCGGGGGGUUACUAUCUGUCAGCCCGAGCGGGUUUCAGAGUGAGCGGGGCCCCUUCUAGUAACAAGGGGUGGAAGGAGCGCUUCUUUUUUUUUAGUCGCUCGGAAGACUGGGGGUUCGGCGUCCGUUGGGUGGCGCGUGUGAUAGACAACACCACCCCGGUUUUGGAUGACGAUGAGCGCCUAGGGCUUCAACGGCUCAGAGAAAUUCUCCCAUCCUCCCGAGCCAUCCGGAGCAUGUCUGAGCGAUGGUUAGUGGAGGCGGGACUUAGCCCGGCACCUCUAGGUACGCUCCGAGGAGCGGUUCCCUUGGGGGUUUCCUUUCCUUAUCUUUGCGUGUUGUCGCUUGACUGACAGUCAUUCUAAUCCUUCUCGACAGACAUGGUGCGUCUCGAGGCUUUGCGUGGGGGGAAGACUGCUGCUGCGUCGGGCCGUUCGCCCUCCGUCACAAGGUGGGCUCGAGGGAGGCUCCCGUGGACGUCGAGGCGGGCCGGUCUCGGAAGAGGGUGCGGGCGCCGUCAAGCGGGGGUCUCGAGGUGGUUGCCGCUCCGGCAACGGGAGCCGCGGUGGCGCCGGCAAUGGAGGGUGCCGCUGGAAGCCUCGGAGAGGGCGCGGCCGGUCCGAGCGGGGGCGCGGCGGUGGAGGCGGCUCGCCAACCUUCCGUCCGCGAGCUUCUCUGCCUUCCGCUAAGGGAGGAUGAGCCGUACCUGGUGCGGGAGGUGGGUGCUCUCCCCCGCGGCAUGGCCACCGAUCCUCUGGUGGCCCGGUGGGAUGGCCUUACCCGGGGCACCAGGGUGUGGGCCGACGGAGAUAUCGCGGGCAGGUUCAUCCGUGGCGGGCUUCAUCCUGACAUGGCCCGGGACCUAUACUCCCUGCCUUCCGACGCUCUGCUCAGCAAGGCAGCAAAGUCCUUGUUAUGGGUAAGCGUCCUUUCGCCCCUGGGUUUGGCUGUUUUUGGAAGGGCUUAAUUCUAACUUUGACCUCGUCCUUCCCUCAGGGCAAUCACUAUGCUGCCGCUUUGAUGGACCGCGUUCGAGACGCGGGACAAGUCAUCGCUGCCCUGAGCUGCCGCAAUGUCGAGCUCCGGCGGCAAGCGGAUGAGGCCCGGGCCAGGGCCGGCCCCGAGGCAGUGGCCGCGGCUGAGCAGCGUGCCUUGGGCUUGGAGGCCGAGGUGGCGUGGCUGACUUCGGAGCUCCAGGCGUCCACCGNNNNNNNNNNNNNNNNNNNNNNNNNNNNNNNNNNNNNNNNNNNNNNNNNNNNNNNNNNNNNNNNNNNNNNNNNNNNNNNNNNNNNNNNNNNNNNNNNNNNNNNNNNNNNNNNNNNNNNNNNNNNNNNNNNNNNNNNNNNNNNNNNNNNNNNNNNNNNNNNNNNNNNNNNNNNNNNNNNNNNNNNNNNNNNNNNNNNNNNNNNNNNNNNNNNNNNNNNNNNNNNNNNNNNNNNNNNNNNNNNNNNNNNNNNNNNNNNNNNNNNNNNNNNNNNNNNNNNNNNNNNNNNNNNNNNNNNNNNNNNNNNNNNNNNNNNNNNNNNNNNNNNNNNNNNNNNNNNNNNNNNNNNNNNNNNNNNNNNNNNNNNNNNNNNNNNNNNNNNNNNNNNNNNNNNNNNNNNNNNNNNNNNNNNNNNNNNNNNNNNNNNNNNNNNNNNNNNNNNNNNNNNNNNNNNNNNNNNNNNNNNNNNNNNNNNNNNNNNNNNNNNNNNNNNNNNNNNNNNNNNNNNNNNNNNNNNNNNNNNNNNNNNNNNNNNNNNNGCGACCGAGGGGGCCUCGGGCAUUACGCGACCGAGGGGGCCUCGGGCAUUACGCGGCCGAGGAGGUUGCCUCGGGCAUUGCGCGACCGAGGAGGAAGACCCAGGCGGGCUGCGCCGGCUUUUUCUCUGGGGAAGGUCAAGGGGCCCGUUCCCUUUCGGCGUCCGCCGGGUUUCGAGCCUGAUAUGAUUAGGGCUAAGUGUGAUUAAUGCAUUUAAGUUCGUCUCGAUUACCGUCCCCGAGGCUGGUAUGAUGAGUGCCUUUGCCCGCGCUGCGUCGCAGCCUUCUGCCAUGUCAGACCGUAUUUAUUGCGAGGAGGCGCCUUUUUCCCCCCUGCAGCGGACUCCGGGAGAUGAGUGGUCGCCGCCUUCGGAUGCGGCCGGCUUAUAAGUAGCGUGAGGCAAGCUGUAAGGGGAACAUCUUUUCCUCCGAGCGCGUCGUACUGCCUUGUGUCUCCUCGCCCUGUCCGUGCCGACCGUCCUUCCCCUCCUUGCCGAAGGUCAGUAAGAAUGGCGUCCUCUUCUUCCUGCUCAUCUUCUUCUUCAUCAAAAGCCGGCGGGGCGGUGGCUUCGUCGGAUCCUGCGUCGUCGUCGGACGAGAAGGCGAUCAAGGCGCUUGAGGCCUUGAUGUGGCCCCACGAUCAUGACUCCACCGUGAGCGAGUCAGCGCUGAGUCUCCUCCGGGAUCGCUAUGGCGUCCCGGAGGAGUUUGUCCUUCAAGCUCCUGAGCCUGGCCAACGUGCAUACGACCUAAUCCCUAGGGGUUUUGCCCUUACCCUUGAUGCUUUCGAAGCCGGGCUACGCCUCCCUCUGCACCCUGUCAUAGUUUCCUGCCUUUCCUGGUGGCGCAUCUCCCCUUCUCAAAUGGCGCCGAACUCGUGGCGCUAUCUGGCGGCGUUUUUAGGCGAGUGCCAUUACGCCGACAUACCCCCGACUCGUGCCCUCUUCCUAUCCUGCUUCCGUCUUUCCAAGGGGUCGGGGGGUUACUAUCUGUCAGCCCGAGCGGGUUUCAGAGUGAGCGGGGCCCCUUCUAGUAACAAGGGGUGGAAGGAGCGCUUCUUUUUUGUUAGUUGCUCGGAAGACUGGGGGUUCGGCGUCCGUUGGGUGGCGCGUGUGAUAGACAACACUACCUCGGUUUUGGAUGACGAUGAGCGCCUAGGGCUUCAUCGGCUCAGAGAAAUUCUCCCAUCCUCCCGAGCCAUCCGGAGCAUGUCUGAGCGGUGGUUAGUGGAGGCGGGACUUAGCCCGACACCUCUAGGUACGCUCCGAGGAGCGGUUCCCUUGGGGGGUUUCCUUUCCUUAUCUUUGCGUGUUGUCGCUUGACUGACAGUCAUUCUAAUCCUUCUCGACAGACAUGGUGCGUCUCGAGGCUUUGCGUGGGGGGAAGACUGCUGCUGCGUCGGGCCGUUCGCCCUCCGUCACCAAGGUGGGCUCGAGGGAGGCUCCCGUGGACGUCGAGGCGGGCCGAUCUCGGAAGAGGGCGCGGGCGCCGUCAAGCAGGGGUCUCGAGGUGGUUGCCGCUCCGACAACGGGAGCCGCGGGGGCGCCGGCAAUGGAGGGUGCCGCUGGAAGUCUCGGAGAGGCGCAGCCGGUCCGAGCGGGGGCGCGGCGGUGGAGGCGGCUCGCCAAGCGACUCGCGGAGUUGCAGACGCAGCUGGAGGCGUCCGAGGCACGCAACGCGGAGUCGCAGGCUCACCUGAGGGCGGCAAUGGUGGAGUCCCACUCGGCGAGGUCCGACUCCAUCGAACUGAUUCGGCGUCUGGAGGAGGCGCGAGCCGAGGCGUCAUGGGCUACCGAGGCCCUGGAGGCCGAGAUCCGCCAACGGCCGGCAAAGGACAAGAAGCUGGUCGAGGACUACAAGGCUUCCUCGGGCUUUCAGCUAGGCCUUGUCCGGACCGAGCGGGUCUCGUAUGAGUACGGAUAUCGGGUUGCCCUUGCCCGCUUCAAGGCACGCAACCCCGACUCCGAGGUUGUGGAGGAUCCCUUCGGCUCCUUCCCCGAAGACCUGGGCGUCGAUAUGCCAGCCGAUGUUCCUUUUGAUGACAGCCCAGACGUCCCUGAGGAUUGACAUCCUUUGUAUUUUUUUUUUUUUUUUUUUUUGUGUAACACCCCCUUUGCUUUCGAAUGAAUAUGAUAUAUUUUCUUUCUCAAUGGUCUAUGACCGACCGAGUCUUUAUGGAAAGAACUUUUUGAGAUUUUGUGCAUUCCAGGUUCUCGGCAGGGACUGGCCUUCCGUUGUGGCGAGCCGGAAUGCGCCGGUUCCGAUGACUUCGGUCACCCGAUAGGGGCCUUCCCAGCUGGGGGCUAGCUUGCCUCUUUGUCGGGUCGGGUCACUGACCUCAGUCCGCCGCAGGACCAGGUCGCCCAAUUUGAUAGGUCGAGAUCUUACCUUUCGGUUGUAGACCCUUGCGACCGCCCUCUUGUAGGAGAGGGCUCUUACAUGUGCGUCUGCACGUUGUUCUUCCAGUAAGUCAAGGGCGGCUCGGAGUCCUUCAUCCGAGGUUUCCUCGUCGUAGCCUUUCGUCCUGAGGGUGGCAAUGGCUAUCUCGGGGGGAAGUACCGCCUCGGUUCCGAAUGCAAGGCUGUACGGAGAUUCUCCAGUUGCUGUUUUUGGGGUGGUGCGCAGCGCCCAUAGUACACUCGGGAGCUCGUCCGUCCAGGUCGUCCGAGCCGCGGAUACUCUUCUCUUGAGCCCGUCCAGGAUGGACCGGUUGGUCACUUCCGUCAGCCCGUUCGUUUGGGGGUGAGCGACCGAACUGUACUUCAGUUGGACUCCGUGUCUUGCGCAGAACUCCCGAAAUCUCUGACUGGAGAACUGGGGCCCAUUAUCCGUAAUGAUGGUUUUGGGCAGGCCGAAACGGGUGAUCAAGUUUUUCCAGACGAACUUCUCUACUUGCUGCGCCGUGAUUUUUGCCAGUGGUUCGGCCUCGAUCCACUUCGUGAAGUAAUCCACGUCGACGAUGAGGUAUCUCCGCUGUCCUGCGGCUAAGGGAAAGGGCCCGAGGAUGUCUAACCCCCAUUGCGCAAACGGCCAAGCGCAGUCGAUAGGGGCUAGCGGGACUGUCGGGAGCCGAGGUGUGCGGGCGUGCUCUUGGCAUGAGAUACACCGCUGCACGUGUGUUCUCGCAUCCCGGCGCAUGGUCGGCCAGUAGUAGCCUUGGCGGAGUAUUUUAUGCGCUAAGGUCCGCCCACCGAUGUGUUCUCCGCAGGCACCCUCAUGUAUCUCUGCCAGGACGGUUUGCGCCUCGUCGGGCUCCAAGCAUCGCAGGAGGGGGUACGAGAAGGAUCGCUUGUAGAGCCGCCCGCCCGCCUCGAUAUACCACGCGUGCGUGCGAAGCAGGCGCCGGGCUGUUGCUUUGUCGGGCGGAAGAAUUCCGUCCCGUUUGUAGCGCAGCAGUUCUUGUACCCAGGAGGACGCGCUGCCGGUAGCUGCGGUCGCGAUUUCAAAGGCACGGGCGGAUAGCUCCUCGACCUCCGGCCCGACUUCGGGGGCAGGUUUCGAGGCCAGCUUAGCCAGCGCGUCAGCGCGCUCGUUCUCCGCCCUUGGGACAUUAGAUAAUGUAAAAUGAUGGAACUUCGUGGUUAAGUUCCUCACCUGUGCAAGGUAUCUUGGCAUGGUCGGGUCGCGAGCCUCAUAUCCUCCACUGAGUUGCUCGGCCACCAGUUGGGAAUCUGUGUGGACACGGAGGGAGUCCACCUGCAUCUCGAGGGCUAACCUGAGUCCCGCCAGGAGUGCUUCGUACUCCGCUUCGUUAUUAGUGGCGCGGAACCCGAAGCGGAGGGAACGCUCGAAUGUCCGCCCGUCGGGGGCUCGGAGCACCAACCCUGCGCCUGCACCCUUUGAGUUGGCCGAUCCGUCGACGUGCAGGACCCAGGCCUCGGGAGGUUGUCCGAGGCUCCCGCUCUCGUCUUGGGUUAAUUCCGCGAUGAAGUCGGCGACGGACUGGGCUUUGAUGGCCGUCCGGGGCACGUACUGAAUGUCAUGUUCGCCGAGCUCUACUGCCCAUUUGAGAAGGCGUCCUGCCACAUCAAAUUUAGACAGGACCAACCGAAGUGGUUGGUCCGUAACUACCUCCACGGGGUGAGCCUGGAAAUAGGGGCGCAGUUUCCGGGGGGACAGCACAAGGGCGAGCGCCAGCUUCUCGAUCGGAGGGUAUCGUUCCUCCGGGCCGCUGAGGACGUGGCUUGUGUAGUAGACCGGGAGUUGGCCGUUGGAGCUUUCUUUAACCAGGACGGAGCUUACUGCGUGCGGGGAAGCGGCCAGAUAGAUGCUCAGUUUUUCGCCGGGAGUGACCGAGGUGAGCCGCGGGAGGUUGGCCAGGUGUCGUUUUACUUGCUGGAGGGCUUCCUCGCAUUCUGUCGUCCAUUGGAAGCCCUUCGGGUUUUGCAGUGCCUUGAAGAAGGGGAAACAGCGAUCUCCUGACCGAGCGAGGAAUCGGGACAUGGCGACGAGUUUCCCAUUGAGGCGCUGCAAGUCCUUGGUAGUCCGGGGCGAUUGCAUGUUGAUGAUUGCCUGGAGCUUCUCUGGGUCGGCGUCGAUCCCUCUUUCAUGCACGAUGAAUCCGAGGAAUUUUCCUGAUGUGACGCCGAAGGCGCAUUUCGCGGGGUUGAGCCGCAUGCCGACCUGGCGGAGUGUAGCGAAAGCUUCGGCCAAAUCAGCCAAGUGAGUCCCGGCUUCUUAGCUCUUUACGAUCAUGUCGUCGACGUACACCUCCAUGUUGCGGCCGAUCUGGCGGGCGAAUAUCCUGUUUACUGCCCUUUAAUAUGUCGCGCCGGCAUUUUUCAGUCCGAAGGGCAUGACCUUGUAAAAGUAGACCCCUUGAUUGGUGAUGAAGGCCGUGUGUUCUUGAUCUUCAGGUGCCAUCCCGAUCUGGUUAUAGCCCGAGAAGGCGUCCAUAAAUGACAGGCGAGUGUGGCCUACCGUGGCGUCAACCAGCUGGUCGACCCUUGGUAGGGGAUAGCAGUCCUUCGGGCAUGCCUUGUUAAGGCUUGUGUAGUCAACGCACAUCCUCCAGCUUCCAUUUGCUUUUUUGACAAGAACUACGUUGGACAGCCAUUGCAGGUAUCCGGCUUCUUUUAUGAAGCCUGCCUUCAAGAGGCGAGUUACUUCUUCUCGCACGGCUGUCUGCCGUUCUGGGGCGUGCCGCCUUAGCUUUUGUUUUACCGGACGAGCGUCGGCGGAGAUACUGAGGCGAUGUAGGGCGACCCCUGGGUCGACGCCUGGCAUGUCAGAGGGUGACCAAGCGAAGACAUCAGCGUUUUCUUGUAGGAGGCCGACGAGUUGUUCUCGUUCGUGCUCGGGCAGCUCUGACCCGACCCUAAUCGCCCGUUCCGGGCGUCCUUCCUGUAGUGACACAGCGACGGUGGUUCCCUUCGGCUCGGCAUGGGGAGCCGACCUUUGCAUUUCUCGGGGGUCCGUCAACGGUGGUUCGACCCUGGGCUUCUUAGGUAGCGAGACGGCGGUCAAGUAACAGCGCCGGGAUUCUCGAGGGCUUCCCGUAAUUUCACCGGUCCCUGCGGGGGUCGGGAACUUCACGGUCUGAUAGUAGGUCGAGACGACAGCUCUAACUUUGUUGAGUGUCGGCCGGCCAAGGAUGGCGUUGUAAGCGGCGGGGAGGUCGAUGACCAAGAAGGUGGUCAUCGUUGUCUUCGACUUUGGUGGAACUCCCAGGGUCAGGGGCAAGGUAACCGCCCCCAGCGGCGAGACUGAAUCACCGGUGAAGCCGGUGAGCGCCGAGGACACCGGCUUCAUGCUAUCUCUGGGUAGGCCGAGCUUCCGGUAGGCGUCCAGGUAUAGUAUGUCGGCCGAGCUUCCGGUGUCGACCAUGAUCCUUUGUACCUGCGCGUUAGCGAUCCUGGCUGAUAUCACGAGUGCAUCAUCGUGUUCGGCCUGUUCAUACGCCCUGGCCGGGAAGGUGACACUGGGUCCGGGCGCGUGUCUGGGGGCCUCAGCUGAGGUGGCUCGGGCGUAUGCCUUCUUGCGGGCCAUGGAGUCUCCACCGGACGCGGGGCCGCCUGAUAUCACGUCGAUACGUCGCUCGACGGGCCCUUCCGGGCGGGGAGAAGAUUCUUUGUUCGGGUGGAGAUACUGAUCGAGGUGCCCCCUGCGGAUGAGUUCCUCGAUCUGUCUUUUCAACUCCCGGCAUUGUUCAGUGUCGUGCCCACGUUGCCGGUGGAAGCGGCAGUAUUUUGAUUGAUCUGCCAGCGCCCGGGGGUCACUCAUCGGGUAGGGUUCUUUGAGCAAACCUUUUCCCCUUAUAUGAAGGAAUAUGUCUGUUUGAGAUGAAUUCAAAGCUGGCAGGGGGGGCCUCGGAGCCGUCGGGUCAGAUCUGUCCGACCUGCGCCGAGAUGUUGGUGGCUGUUGCUGUCGAGGCGGCUCCGAUUUGGUCCCCCUGUGUCCCCUGGGUCUCCCGGCCAUCCACGUCUCUGCAGCGACGAAUUGGCUCGCCCGUUGAAGCAUCUCUGGUACAGUUGUGGGGGGUCGCUCUACCAGGGACCAGAAGAACCUGGAGGGUCAUAAGCCUAUCAUGAACGCCUGCAUCAAUAGGGAAGGAUGAGCGUCCGAGAGCCCUCGGAUCUGCGUCGUGAAACGGUCCAAGAAGUGGGAAAGGGACUCAUCUUCCCCUUGGUUGAGUCCGAGGAGGAGCGCCGCGGAUGGCUUCAGACGCGCGUAGGCGAGGAAGUUGAGCUCAAAGUCCCGGGCGAGCUGGUCGAAAGAAGAGACGGUUCCUGCCUUGAGGCUGCCGUACCAUGCGCGGGCCGGCCCCCUCAAAGUUGUCGGGAAUGCCCUGCACAUCAGGGCGUCAGAGGUUCCGUACAGCGCCAUUUGGGCGCGAAACGCGGCUACGUGGUCCGCGGGGUCGGUGGCGCCGUUGUAGGCGUCCAGGGACGGAAGCCGAAAGUGCGGCGGGAUGGCCUGAUCUUGUAUUUCGGGCGCGAAUGGGGAUCCUUGGUACCCUUCCGUUCCGGGCUCUCCUUUCGACCUGCGAACUUCUUGUUGUACCUCAUUCAAGCGUUGGUUGAAAAGAUGCAGCUGCGCCUGCAAGGUGUGGGUUGAGUUCGCGGGUGGCCACUCGGGCUCGGGGCGGCUCGACGUGCCCACGGUCUCCCGGUCACCAAGCCGGGUCGCUUGGUUUCGGGGCGACGGAGGAGGCCCGGGGGGUGGUGCGUGCUCCCGAGGGGCAGGCUCCUGUUGAUGCGAGGACUGGUACGUUUGCGGGGGCGCCGGCUGGGGGAUGAGCGGAACGAUGGCUUGCACCACGCCCGCCAGUGCCCUUACUUGGUGGGCGAGGUCGUGGAAGGCCUCAGGGGAAACUGAUGGGGGGACGACAGUGGCGUCGAGCGGCGACAAGCCCGGGUCAUUGAACAGGCGCCAGUAUUGCUCUGAAGUCGCAGCGAGACGCCCCUCUUGGGGCUCUUCCCGCGGGGGAUGAUCUCCCGGGGUCCCGACCGGGUGCGUCCUCGCAGCUGAGGAAUCGCCGAGGCGGGUUUGUUGACCAGUCGACAUUCCGGGCCCUCCUUCUAGCGCCAAAAUGUUACGGUCAGUAACUGUUCAGCCGUGGCCCUGAGGUCGUCGCGGCUCGGUUCGGGUCCGGAAGGUGGUGGUCAAAGGAGGGGGAGUCUCCUCGAGCCCGCUGAGUCUCCAAAGGCGGUGAACUCCGAAGGCUUCGCACCUGCACCAAGGCCGGGUCAGGAUGCUCGACCCGACCCCUCCGACGAUUAAGUUAGCGAAAGAUGCGGAGGGGGUUUUAGGAGGAGGAGAAACCUCCGAGCAGUAUUGGGUAUGUUGGGAGAGUCCCUUUUUGCUUAGGACUUAGGGGUAUUUAUAGAGGAGGUUAGCAUUACCUGAUUUGACCGCCUGCUGGGGUGAGGGGGUACCUCUGAUGGCGUCUGACGUGGCUGCUGGGGUCGCGUGGUGGAGCGGUUCGUAGCAGGGUAUGGGCGAGGGGCAGGUCAUUGUCCGGCCUUGUCGUGGUCAACCAUGCGAGGUCGGAGGUCGCCUCUCAACAGUGGGAGUUGUCAGGGCGGGUCUAGUUAGCGUUAUUGCUUUGGCCGGGGGCUGUCGUCACGGCGCGUCGUCGGGCCAUUAUUUUCCCUAUCAUUUAGGGUUAUCUACAACCAACCUUAUACAUUUAUCUAUGCCUCAUAUACACUCUAUUUUUAAUUAAAUACUAUAAAAUUACCAUUAAAUUAGGAUAAAAAACCUAAACAAGGAUUUUUUUUGUGAAUUUCUGGCCAUUGUUCAUCCUUUUUUCCGAAAGUCAGUUUGUACCAGCAUAAUGGUAUAUCGGUACCGAUUGAUACAUAACAUACGUCCAUGGACCGAUACCAUGGGUCGGCACAGUAUGGUGGUCCUUGAUCCGAACCAACAUAUCAGGUGACAACUGCCUUGCCAGGUUGGUCAUAGUUAACAGAAAUGUUAAACUUUACAAAUGAUAAUGAGUGCAGGUACAGGGUACACCACUUAUGAUGGUGUUAUAUGGACUGUAGGAUUAACUGAUCCAAUUGAUCAUGGUAGACACUGAACCACAUAGUUCACAUGCUACUUCAGAUAAGAUAUUUUAACCAUGCUGAUUGAUUGAUCAUGUAUCUAAUCAACUUAAUAAAAUUGUGGUAAAAGAACUAUGAACUUGUAUUGUAUUUAGUCUACUGAGUGAAUUGUUAUUUAAACUUCUCAUUUAAAAAAUAUUACAGUAACAAUGUGUAUAGAUUUAUUUCCCUCGGUUUAUAACCACAAAACUAAAUCAUAUUAAUGAGAUCCAGUCACCACCUUGGAAUUCUACAAAUAUUUGGAACACAUAGGAUAAUGAAUGCUGACAAAGACAAGGGUGUUUGGAGCUAUUCCAGUAGCUAUUGUCUGGAUAAAACUUAGUACCAAUGGACAACUUACCAUGACCAAUCAGAAGGGACUAAAUUCACCUCAUGGAACCACAGUGGUUCUGUAUGCUCCCCCAAGAAACAGUUUACUGGAUAUUUCUUCUGCCUGGAUGGUUGAAUUUGGCUGCUUUACAAGAGUUUUAUGAUGAGCCGCCAACAACAGUAUCCACAUAUGCACAAACCCUACUAAUCCCAUAUUCCCAUCCAUUUUGCAAAAUCCAGAACAAGAUCAAAGAGAAUCAAUGACUCUGUAAGGUGAACUCUUUUUUCAUUUGUACAAAAGCAAUGUUGGAAGGGCCAAUGGGUCCGAUGACUACCAGUCUUAACUAUUUACCUUUCAAUUUUUUUAUUCAAAUUAGCACAUAAGUCUUGGGAGCCUGUUAUAAUCAUUGUUGGACUACAGUGAAUCAUAACAUUUCCGUCAAAAGGAAAAAACCAGUUCAGCUUAGCAAAAAGAAAGAUCAGAUAUUAUGAACCAUGGCAUUCAAAAUCAUCUGUUCGACCAGUAACUCAUUCAAAAAAGAGCUGUAACAUUUCCAAAAUAUCUACUUUUGCAAUUUCAAAGGCAGUCAGGAAUUCUAAACUUUGAUUCCAAACAUUUUUGCAUAAUUAGUAAUUAUUGUACAGAAAGUAAUUCCAAAGCUUAAAGAAAUAUUAUAUUGGUAAUCAAAUGGAUCCACAUGAUAUUUACUACCUAAUGUGAUAUCCAAUGUCAUGCAAAUCUAACAUGCAUUCCUAUUUGGAUGCACCUUCCAUUAGGGAUCAGACUAUGACUGCAAACAAGGUAAAGUCCUGCAGUCAUCAUGUUUUACAAUUUUGCCUCUUUUUAGCUCCUAAUUAUCAUCACACUCCCACAAAAUCAUACUUCCAUCUUAUUCAUCUACGAAUUUUUUUCUUCAAACUCCUAAUACAUAUCUCAAUAUCACUACAUGUGAUGAUAAACUUUUUCCAAACAAAAGACCAGGCUUCCACCAAAAGUCCUGGUCUACCAAGUUUGAUGAUAGACCACUACAUAUAAAAGAUACCUAAAUAAUAAAAAAGUCAGUAGAAAUUCAAAGGAAAAUGAACCACUAAACUGCAUCAGAACCAAGAACAUCAAGAUGACAUAUACAUAUAUAUAAGUUCUCUUUUCUUGAGGAUAAAGCAUCAGAUAAAAUGAUUGCUACUUACAGAUAAGAACAGGUUCAUUCCGGAUACCAAAGACUGAGGUGCAUUUGCAGUGCAAUCUAUAGAGGGCAUUCCCUCAUAUACAAUGACCUUAUCAGCCAGGUAGGUUGCCAUGAUGAAAUCAUGCUCAACAACGAAGGCAGUUUUCUUGGCAUGAAGGAUAAAUCUCUUUAUCACCUUUGAGGCGACAAUACGCUGCUCCGAAUCAAGAUAAGCACUUGGUUCAUCUAUCAGAUAAAUAUCUGCUGGCUGAACAAGUAACAUGAAUCAGCAUAACAAGUUCACAUAAAAAAUGCAAAAAAACUCAUUGCCAAAAGCAUUCAAAAAAAUUAAGGGACAUGCAAGUUAGCAGGUAAGAUUUUCCACAAAUCAGCAGAUGGCAACUUCUAAUGAAAGAUCAUUUGCAGCUCAACAAAAAUCUAAAGAAAGUCUGGAUUGAGCCAUUAUGAGUCUGAAAUGCAUCUAUCUGCUUACAGAAUAAGCAACAGUUGAAGAAUACAGACCAAAAUGAGAUAAAUCAACAAAACAAUUUUCAUUACAGCCAGAUGAGAUGGAAAAUAAAUAAAUAAAUUAUUAUGUAAAGAACAAUCCAAUGAACACUACAGUGCAAUAACUGUGGCUUCAUGGAUUGUUAUGCGAGAUCAUUUACAGUCAUUCUUAAAUGCUUCAUAAAGUUUAGAACUCUCACUACAUAGUUGCAAGAGUAAGCCACCAAAUAAAAUAGCAUUUUAUAAACAAUUUAACAUAUGGCGUAAGCUAUGAAAUACAAACCUUCCCAAGACACAAACACAAUGCUACUCUUUGCAGUUCUCCACCAGAAAGGUUCACAACUUCUUGGUCCAUCAAUUGUUCAAUUUGCAAUGGCUUCAUAACAUCAGUCACAAAUUGCGGAUGCAUAUAUGAAUCGCGAAUUUUUUGAUGCAGCAAGUGUCUCACUGUAGAUGGAAACUUUGGACUAAUUUUCUGAGGCUUAUAUGAAACAUUAAAUUCAGGCAUCUCAAAAUCUGAAUCUUCCACAGAAUCAGGCUUCAGCAAUCCUGCCUGAAAUUUGUUGACAAUGUAAACCAAAUAAGCAACAUGAAAUUCAGGUUGCAAAAUUAGUACACAUAGAUAAUUCCCAAGGUAAACAUCAUGCAUGCCAUGACAGAAUGGUGUGAUGCAAAUGUUUCAAUCCAAGAUCAGCAAAUACAAAUUACACCACUAUACAAUUAUUGCCUACAAAAAUAUAGACAGAAGAGAAAUGUAUACAUAUUUAAAUAUCAAACGAAGUAAAACCUGAUAUAAUGUAAACGUGUACAUAUUUAAAUAUCCAUAGGAGUAAAAUUUGAUAGCAAUAAAACUAUAAGUAUGAAAUGAACUGAUAUAAAGUAAACCAAGCUAAACAAAACUCCAUCUGUUUUAAACUAAUACACUAGGAUACUUUGGUAUCAGGACAAAUUAAAUUGGUUAAAUUGAACCUGUACCUUAUUUCUUUUGUUUAAUUACAGAACAGGGAUAUCCGAAAGAAAUUACCAGCAUCCGAAUAAAUGUUGUCUUCCCAGUCCCGUUCUCACCCAGCAUUACAAUAAUCUGAGAAUCUGUAAAUUCACCCUCGAUCACUUUAAGCUUGAAAUUCCCUUGGGUUUUACUCAUGGUAGGAUAUUUAUAUCGUUGGUACGUCUGAAUCUCCUCAGCACUUUCUUGAGGAGUCUCAGCAACCUGGAUGAUGCAACAACAUGUGAAAAAUAAUAAUAGAAUUUUUAUUAGAAGAUAUUCAGAAGAACAUAACAUUCUACCUUAAAUGUAAGUGAUUCAUCUCGAAACCGGAGAUUUUCUGUAGGAACAAAACCAGCCAAAAAAAUGUUGAUUCCUUCUCGUACAGAGAAGGGCAGCGUAACAACUCCAUAAGCUCCUGGCUUUCCAUAGAGACAACAAAUGAAAUCGGACAAGUAGUCCAAUACACUGAGAUCAUGCUCUACAACAAUCACAUAGCUGAGCAAGGAUAAAUAAGAGUAUUCAGCCUUAACCCCUAUGCCGGUAAAAAGAGAAAAACUUAUUGAAUCAGGAGCAGGCUACCUGUUAGGUCUAAGUAGGGAACGGAUAACUUGAGCUGCUUUAAGCCUCUGCUUCACAUCGAGAUAACUUGAUGGCUCAUCAAACAUAUAAAUCUCUGCAUUUUGUAUGGCAACCACAGCGAUAGCAAAUCUUUGCAACUCUCCACCAGACAAGUCCCCCACAUUUCGAUCAAUAACUUGAUUCAAUUCUAGGUCAUUACACAGCUCUGCUUUCAUCUCUCUCUCAUCUUUUUGGUCAAGAACCUGUCCAACAUUACCUUGAACAGCUUUUGGAAUGUGAUCAACAUACUGCGGCUUGAUGAUUGCCUACAAUAUGCUAUAAAACUAUCAGCGACAUGGAAAAAAAGGCAAGAAAUUUUAUCGCAUUGAUCAUCAUAAUAAAGUUAAACCAUUACAGCCAAGCAGUGCCUGAAAUAUUCAGAUGCCUUGAGGCCCAUCAUUUACAAAGAAAACUAAGAAUGAAAAAGAAAUUACAUAAAGCAAUUCGAUUAAGUUUACACUCCUGCUCAUCCCAUAACUAUUACCAGCACUCCUUUUUAUUUGCAUCAUUUGAUGCUUACAUUUAAACCUUCAUCCCAUGCACACCAAGCAAAUUUCAAACGAUCUUUACAAAUCCAAUCAUUUCUCCGUAAAAUCAUAAGAAUGAUUAUUUCCUUUUAUGUCAUGAUAAUCGUUCACUAAUUGCAAAAUAUAUACUUUUGUACAACAAAGGGCUUCUACGAAUCACUUAAGACUUAUUCAAGCAUAUACAAUUAGGUACAAGCAAGAAAAAAAAUGAAAUGACACAAAAAAUUUCAAAACUUCCAUUAUAAACAAAGAGUUGCACCAUGCAGAUACAACUACAAAUGAUAAAUAAUUUCAACAGCUCCCAACAUCUAAUGGAUAUACAUCAGAGAUAGAAGAAACAUGACCCAAUUUAGUUUCUUUAAAAAUAAAAAAAGUAACGAGUUUGUUCUCCAUAUAAUCAUUCUUCUUCCAAUAGUCCAAGAGCAAAAAGACCUCGAAUCAUAUUUAUCAGACAGAUCACUCCUAGUUAGAAAUAAAGUUAAGUACUUCAGUUUAGUCAUAAUCAAAUGUAAAUAGAUGGACACAAUCAUCUGAUAAAGUAUAUCUGACAAGAUGAGGUUAAUAUUGAAAUUCUACUACCAUGACAAAUCUGCAAUUGAAAAAAAAAGGCAAGAAUACUUGAAUUCUGGGAAAAAAAAUAAAACCAUAAAGCAUAUACUAAUUUUAAAAGUACACUUCUAAGCACCUUUAGAUUGUCCUCCAGUAUACGUGUAAAAUAAUUCUGAAGCUCAGAGCCACGGAAAUAUGUUAAAAUCUCCUGCCAAUCAGGAGGAUUCUGCAAAGAGAGAAAAGUUGAGAAACUGCAGGCAUGCAAACAUCAAAAACAACAUGAAAGAAAAAAAAACCUUCAUUAUGUAUUACAUUGAAUCUACCCAAGUUGGGCUUCAACUUCCCAGCCAACACUUUAAGUGCGGUAGACUUUCCAAUACCAUUUGUCCCAACCAAGCCCAGAACUUGUCCAGGUCUUGGAACUGGCAACCUAUAAUAGAAAAAUAUCCAUCAUUGAAAUUCUAGAUCAACAAGUAUCACAAAGAAGCAAAAAACCAAAGUGUCUUCCAUGUUCUGAAAUAUAAUCUUUGCCAACCUGUGCAAUUUAAAUGUAUUUGGUCCAUAACGGUGGGUCGUGUCUUUGUCUAAGUCCUUUGGCAGAUUGAUAAUCUGAAUGGCCUCAAAAGGACAUUUCUACAACCAAAUGACAAAUAGUCACAUUGUUCAGAUAUAGGUUAGGAUGCUCAAAGAUCUAAAAUCAAUAACAAUAACCGAAUGGAAGAAUGAAAGACCUUAACACAGAUACCACAUCCAAUGCAUAACUCCUCAGAUAUGAAAGCAAUCUUUGAGGCAGGAGUUACUUCUAUGCAAAGUUUUCCUGUCAGAAGAAGAAAGAUAGAAAGCAACGUAAUAUAUCUAAGUUAAUGGAAAGGCCUAAAGUCAAUGUCAAUUAAACAAUACAAAGCCAAGUUAAAUAAAAAAAUGGUAAGUUACACAAAGAAAUGAAAUGGCAGGUGCAGCAGCUAAAACUGAACUUUUGAGUUUCAUUUGUUAGAAGACCAACCAAAUAGGUAGUCUGGUAAGAAUGAAGUGGAACUAGAUACCAAUACACUAAGAGAGAUGAAGGGAUCUAAUUUCACAAUGUAAUUACUCAAAACAUUCAAAUUUCAAUUGAAUGGUUUACACAAAAUCAUUGACCACUAUUCAUGUAAUCAGGAAAAAAAGAAGCCAUUGAUCUGUAGCUAAUAAAUUAGAAACUCCCAUCAACAUAUUUCUAUACUACACUGAGAAAGAGAAGAGAAGGACAAUUCUACAAUUUUGAAUAUAUCCAUGAAACUAAAUGUUGAAUUGUACUUACUGAUCUGGCCAGCUUAACUGCAACUUUACCUAUUAAGGCAUGUUAUUAUAAGAUUAACAAAGAAGGCCAGAUAAAUUAUAAACACUUACAACCAACUCAUUGAAUCAAAAGAUUCAUGCAGCAACCUCCCCAAUGCACAAGGCUCUUGCCAAUAAAGAAUCUGGAGAUGGUUAAUGCACGUAGCGUUACUGACAUUGCAAACAUAAAUGGACACACUACCUAUGAUCUUGAUGGCCAAGAUAAAAAAAAAAAAGUGGCCCAGAAAACAAGGCUCCUACGAGAAUCUACAGACAGGCUACCUAUGAUCCUGAUGGACAAGGACGUAAAUGUAGCAGCCUUUCCAAUAUUUCAGGAAUUCAUGGCCAUAUUACCUAUGAUCCUGUCAGCCAAGAUAUAAAAAACGGUAUCCCAGUGCACAAAACUUCUGCAUUGAGAAUACAGAAACACACCAACUAAUAUCUCGAUGGCUAAGAUAACCAGAAGACGUAUCCCAGCUAUAAAAAGAGCGAAGGCAUGCUAAAUUGAACUGCCAAAAACACAAAUAAACAAAGAAAGAACUCUUUUUGAACCAGAACUUUGAUCGGCAACCAUCGAAAAUCAAAGUCCCGAAUUUUAGAAAUAAAUCGCGUUCAAGAAAGGUGGAAGAACGCAACAGAAUACCUGUUUUCACGACGGGGCAACUCUUCUUGCACUCCUGUCGGCACUUCUUUGGUUUGCAUCGAUCAGAGCUAACGAUAGCGAUACGGGUCAACCGAUCGGCCAUGAUGGAGGGGACGUGGCCCUAGCGACGCCUCAAAAAUAAGACCUGAUACAUGCGAGAGGGAAGAAAUUAAAGAAAAAUAGCGAAUCCACAAGCCCUAACGCUACCAAAAACAAUCAUCCGAGUAAGGAAUCGGAGAUGUACCACCACUCGCUGCCGAUGCUCGCCAGCCGAAGUGGUCUAGAACCCUAGCUAGGACUCCGGCCGACGUAUAUAAGGUGGCGGAUCUUGUCGUGGAAGACGGCAAAGAACGGAACUCAAGACACCGAACCCGGUCGGCGACGUGUCGGGUUUCGGAUCGCUACCCGUUUGUAACAAUAACUCACGUUAAACAAACAAACAAAUGAUUAGUUCACGUCCUCUUUAUAAUUUCCCUUUUUAACUUAAUGUAAGAUCUAAAUUUAUUAGUAUUGUGGUCUUGAUGUCGUCGGAAGUCAGACAUAGCUCGAUCUUGACUCGAAAGCAUGGAGUCGUCCAAGCAACCCUCCUAACAAUUAGAUGAGAUGAUUGAUGCGAGGCAUCAAAGAUGACUGUAGAGGAGUCUUUGGCUUCCCGAGGUGGUCUCGAACGGGUCUAAGAUGGGCUCUGGUCUCCUGAGGAUCCUACACGAAGAUCAAUGUCGGGAGAAAUUUUUCGACCUGACCCCUCUAAUGGUCAAGUUAGUAUCGUAGAGUUGUGGGGUGAAAAAGCUUGCGGUGAGUGAGGUUCGACCCUAGGUAAGCAUUAGGGAUCGAUUUUUAUACUUGGGAGGCCUAGGGGACCAUUCGUAACUGUUUUAAUGCCUUCUUCGUGUCGCUUGUCCACGUGUGCGACUAGUUCGAAUGGCCCUUUAUAGCCUAUCGCUUACAGAGGCCAACCAAGAGGAGAGCAAAUCUAAUCAGCCACUCAAAGACACUGCCCCUAGUGGCUAAUAAGAUCAACCCGAAUGGCCUCCCGUGGAUUGUUGUCUGCAAGGGCCAACAAGCUAUUACCUCCCCACAUUGCUAUCGAGUGGGGGGAUGACCUAGCCUUCAUCCUCCACAUCAACUCCUCUAUGGCGGCUAGGUGGCUCAAAGAUGACUUUAGAGGAGUCUUUGGCUUCCCGUGGUCACGAACUGGUCCAAGAUGGGCUCUAGUCUCCUGAGGAUCCUACACGAAGAUCAAUGUCGGGUGAAAUUUUUCGACCUGACUCCUAAUGGUCAAAUUAGUAUCGUAGAGUUAUGGGGUGAAAAAGCUUGCGGUGAGAGAGGUUCGACCCUGAGUAGGUAUCAGGGAUCGAUUUUUAUACUUUGGAGGCCUAGGGGACCAUUCGUAACUGUUUUAAUGCCUUCUUUGUGUCGCUUGUCCACGUGUGCAACUAGUCUGAAUGGCCUUUUACGGCCUAUCGCUUGUAGAGGCCAACCAAGGGGAGAGCAAAUCUAAUCAGCCACUUAGGGACACUGCCCCUAGUGGCCGAUAAGAUCAACCCGAAUGGCCUCCCGUGGAUUGUUGUCUGCAAGGGCCAACAAGCUAUUACCUCCCCACAUUGUUGUCGAGUGGGGGGAUGACCUGGCCUUCAUCCUCCACAUCAACUCCUCUAUGGCGGCUAGUUGGCGGGUCAUGAUUGGUGUGAGAAUAUCCUAUAUCAUCUGUUACCCCCCAGCAAGCGUGCUUUAGGGCUCUUGCAAAGGGGUCUGAGGCACAUCGUUUAGUCUUUUCGUUGAUUGGGAUCUCCUUUCACCGAUUGGGUUCUCUCGAUUUGGAUAUCUCAAGUGCAUUAGGUUUGUGCUUUUGCCGUAGCGGAAAUCUUGGUGCGGGUUAAAUUUCCUGACUCACUCGCCUUAGGCUUCAUCAUCCCGAUGCCUUCGCCAUCGCAUAUAUCUUGGUGUGGGUUGGAUUUUUCGACUCACGCCUUUGGCUCAUUCGGCUCAAAGUCUUUAUCGUAACGAAUAUCUAGGCGUGGGUCAAAAUUUUCAAUUCACAUGCCUCGGGCUCAUUUGGCCUCGAGCCUCCACUAUAGCAAAUAUCUUGGCAUGGGUUGGAUUUCCCAACUCACACACAUCGGGCUUAUUCGGCUCGGAGCCUCCAUCAUAACAAAUACCUUGGCAUAGGUCGGAUUUCCUGACACACGCCUCUAGCUCAUUCGACCCAAAGUCUCCACUAUAGCAAAUACCUUGGCAUGGGUCGGAUUUCUCGACUCACAUGCAUUAGGCACAUUCGGCCCAGUGCCUCCACUCUAGCGGAUACCUUGGCAUGCGUCGGAUUUUUUAACUCAUAUGCCUCGGGCACAAUCGACCCGGUGCCUCCGCCAUAGUGGAUACCUUUGGCAUGGGUCGGAUUUUUGGACUCAUACACCUUCGACUCAUUCAACUCGAAGCCUACGUCAUAGCAGAUAUCUUAGCGUGGAUCGGAUUUCCCGACUCACAUGCCUCUGGCUCAUUCAGCUUGAAGCUUACGUCAUAAUAGAUAUCUUGGCAUGGGUCAGAUUUUCUUACUCACAUGCCUCGGGCUCAUUCGGCUCAAAGUUUCCACCGUAGUGGAUACCUUGGCAUGGGUCGGAUUUCCUGACUCACACACCUUGAGCUCAUUCGGCCUGAAACCUCCAUCGUAGUGGAUAUCUUGGCAUAGGUCGGAUUUUCCGACUCACAUGCCUCGGGCUCAUUCAACCCGGAGCCUCCACCAUAGCGGAUACCUUGGCACAGGUCGAAUUUCUUGACUCACAUUCCUCAAGCCUAUUCGACUCGAAGCCUCUGUUAUAGUUGAUAUCUUGGUAUGGGUUGAAUUUUUUGAUUCAUAUGCCUUGGGCUCAUUCGGCCCGAAGGACUCUACCAUAGCAGAUACUUAGGCAUGGGUCAGAUUUCCCAACUCACACGCCUCGAGCUCAUUCGGCCCAGUGCCUCUGCCAUAGUGGAUACCUUGGCGUGGGUUAGAUUUCUGGACUCACAUGCCUUGGGCUCAUUCGGCUUAGAGCCUCCAUCAUAGUGAAUCUUGGGCUCCUCCUAUGGGAGGCUUUCAUUCCUUCUUUGUCAUAGCGGAUCUCGGGCUCGCGUCGUGGCGAGCCUUUGUCCCUUCUCCAUUAUAGCGGAUCUCAAGCUUUCGUCGUAGCAAGCCUUCGUCCCUUCUUCAUCGUCAUGGAUCUUGGGCUUCCAUCAUAGCGGGCCUUCGUCCCUUCUUCAUCAUAGCGGAUCUUGAACUCCCAUCGUGGCAAACCUUCGUCUCUUCUCCAUCGGAGCGGAUCUCGGGCUCUCGCUAUCACGCCUCUUAAAUCGAUAAUAUUAAAAUUUCAUCAACAAACCAAUCCAGGAUCCAAACUAACAUUUGAGGACAUUGAGAAAUAUUCAGUCAAAAUUCAUAUCCACAAAACCUGUGCAGUUUAUAAUCAUAUACCACAUCACUCGAUAAUUCAUAAUUAUAAAAACCCAAGCCAACUUAACAAAACAUUAACAACACUUAUAAAUCUACAAGCUAAAUAAUUUAUACAAUCAGAACUCCAAACAUUUACCAUAAGUUAAUAUCAUCGUAAACAUUCAAAAUUUUCAAACUUUUACAUGACAUAUCAAUUCAAACAUAUCGACAAAAUUUUCAUUACAUACAAAAUGCACUUAUACAAUAAUAACAUAAUAACCAAUAAGACUUGCCCACAAUUCUCAAUAGCACUCCACUGCCUCAGCCCAAUUCAAACAUCUCAGUGAGUGACAAGCUAACCUGAAAGAUUUUAUAUAACAACGGAGUGAGCUAAAAGGCUCAACAAGUGACAAACAUAUCAAUGGCAAAAAAGGUUAGUUUUAAACAAAUAAGGUAUCAAAAUGCAAAGUAAGAUAUAUGAAUUCAUGGAUAUCAUCUCAUUAGAUACAGAAUCAUAAAUGUCAUUUCAUUCACAAUAUAUUUGGUUCAUAACAAAUGGAGUAAAGAGUAAUUGAAGCAUAUCAAUGAUGUAUGAAAUAUUCUGGAGCAUAUCAACAGUAUAUGAAAUAUUUUGGAGCAUAUCAAUGGCAAAUAAAAUAUUUCAGAGCAUAUCAAUGGCAUAUGAAAUGUUUCGGAGCAUAUCAAUAAUAAAUAAAAUAUUUUGAAGCUUAUUAAUGGCAAAAGAAAUAUUUCAGAGCAUAUCAAUGACGUAUAAAAUAUUUCUAAGCAUAUCAAUAACAAAUGAAACAUUUCAGAGCUUGUCAAUGGUGUAUGAAAUGUUUAAGAGUAUAUCAAUGGAACAAAUACGAAACAGAAGCUCAAACGUCAUAUUUGAUGUUGUAUUCAUUUCAUUCUUAUCCAAAGCGCACAUAGAAGCACAUAACCAAAGCUUUGGAUAUCAUAUCGAAUAUAUAGAAGGUGAAGUGGGACCCCAAAUAUAAUCUAGAGCAUCACGAGCUCUAGGCACGUACCUUUUAUCAUUUUUGGCAAAGGUCCAGAUAAUCCCUUCACUAUUUCUGGUAAAGGUCCAAAUAAUCCCUUUACCAUUUCCAGCAAAGGUCCAAAUAAUACCACAAACACCUAAGUGCAAAAGGACAUUAUGAAUAACAAAAUUGACGCAUAUCGGAAUCACAUACGGAACAACAAAACGUACAUGUGCCUUUAGGAGUCAAUAUAAUGCAAAUAUAAUUUUUCAUAAAUGCCUUCAAAUUUGAAAGGAAAUAAAAUAAGAGCAUAUAAGGAUUUUAGCACAUAUCGGAAGCACAUGCGGAACAACGGAACAUACAUGUGCCCAUACGAAACAAUGUGAUACAACAUAAACUUUAUAUAAUAAGUUUCAAGUAUAUAAAUAAUAUAAGAACAAGAGUAUACAAGAAUUUAAAGCAUUAAUAUAAAUCUCAAUUGAAAAAAAAUACUAGAUGAAAUCAAUUUCCAAAGGGAAUGAAACAAGAAUAAGCAAAAUCGACCAAAGCUCGAUUCUGAUAAAAUUUAAGGCACAUUGUAUAAAUUAUUUGGAUAACCAAUUAUACUCCAAAUUACUUAAGAAUGAUAUCAUUUGAAAGAUAUUUCAAUCUACUUAUAGAUAAAAUAAGUUUCAUAUGAAUCGAAGUUUCUAAUAGAGCGUUACAAAUAAUUUGGUAACCAAAGAUUAUAGAUCAAAAUCUUUAUUUUGUAGAAUUCAUAGGUUUAGAUUCAAUAGAAAACUAAAUAGGAAUUGGUAUUCUAAAUCUUUCAAUCUAGAUAUCAAAAGAAAGAUCUAUAAGUCUAGUUUCCAAUAAAGUAAGUUUUACACAAAUCAGAGUUUCCAACAAUUAAUCAGUUUAAUAUCGAAAGGUCGGAAGUUAUGGUCCCCAUUUUACAGAAUCCAUAUAGUCAAUUGAAACAUAAGUUUGGACAGACAAUUUUACUCCAAAUUCUUCAAAUAAGCUAUCAAAAGAAAGGUUUACGAGUGUUAUUCAGAUCAAAUAAGUUUUGUCCAAAUUGGAAAUCAGUGCAGGGAUUUAUAUCUAAAAUAAAAUGGAAGGGUCAGAAUCUCGAAAGUUUUCGUGAUUUAAAUCGCUACGUCUAAACAAGAGAUAUAUUAGAUACAAUACUAGAACAAUUCAAAUUUUCUCGUAUCCAACACAAAUGUAAAGAUAGAAUUGUAGUAGGAAAGGAUUAGAAUACUUGUAGGAGAAAAGAUUCAAAUACUUGCAAGAUUUCGAUCAAAAGAUUAGGUAUAAGCCCAAAUACUUCUACUUUUCCUACAUCUCCUCUCCCUGUUUCAUUUUCUGCACCUAUCUUAUUUCAUUCUCCACCGCUGCUAACUGAUGCAGAAUGUAGAGACGUAGUCACCUGCUCUCUGCUCUCCCCUCUCCUCCUCCUUCCUUUUCUUCUCUUUCCCAAUCACGGUCGUAGCCGCAGUCACGCUGCAGCCUCUUCCACUGCGCUACUUUAAAUUUCCCUUCUCUCAUUCCUUUUUUUUAUUUCCCAAACACAGCUGCUGUAGGCGCAAUCACAGCCGCAGCUGCAGCCACAACAACUGCAGCCUCUUCUUCCUUCUCUGCUUCUUCCUCUCCUUCUCUUCCAACUGCAGCUACCACCAUCGCAGCUGCAACCCCUUCUUCUUUCUCUCUUCCUUCCCAACUGCAGCCAUCUUCCCCUCUUCCUCUUCUUCCAUCUCUUCUCCCUCUUCUUCUUCUCCUCUUCUUCCCUUCUCCUCCCUGAUGCCCCCACACUUCCUCUCCUCUAUUUCCUCCUGCAGGAAACAGAGGUGGUGCAGCUUUAGCUGCAGCCACCUCCCUCUUCCCUCUCUUCUUCUUCUUCUUCUUCUUUUCUUUGCUUCUCCCUCUUCGUCUCCUUCUCCUCCCUGAUGCACUGCCUCCUCUUCUCUUCCUUUGUUUCCCAUGUGGGAAAGAGAGUGCGUUGGAGGCGACGGGAUAAAACUCUCAUUUUUUUAUUUUUCUUUUUUUUACAAUUUAAUAGUUUAAUCAUUGAGAUUUCUUAUAUUUAUAUAUAGGUCCUUAUAAAAUAAAUUUUUAAAGUGAGGGAUAUUACACUCGCCAUGACAGACCUUCAUCCCUUCUUCGACGUAGCGGAUCUCAGGCUUUCAUCAUAGCGACCCUUCAUCCUUUCUCCACCAUAGUGGAUCUUGGACUCCUAUCAUGGUGGGCCUUUAUCUCUUCUCCGUCAUAGUGGAUCUCAGGCUCUCAUCGUGGCAGUCCCUUCUUCGCCAUAGUGGAUCUUGAGCUUUUCGUCAUAGCGGACCUUCGUCCCUUCUCUGCUAUUAGGGAUCUCGAGCUCCCGUUGUAGCGAGUCUUCACCCUUUCUUUGUUAUAGUAGAUCUUGAGCUCCUAUCGUGGCGAGCCUUCCUUCUCUCCUUUGUGGCAGGUAUGAGUCACUCUUUCGUAGCUGGUCGAGCCAUUCCGUCGUGGCAGGUCGAGUCGUUUUGCCUUAGCAAGCUUUCUUACGUGUUUUGCUAGUUGGCUAGGGGUUCAUGCCAACUUUGCAAUCUUUAAAGCGCUUUGCAUUUAUGGUGAGAUUUGGGUUUUCUCGCUACCGGGGGCUCAUUUGAGGUGUCUCCCAUUAUGGCGGGCUUUGGGCUUUCCGCUAUCGAGAACUUUUCGGGUCCAUUCUAGAGGAGACAAUUAUCUCGAUCAUGGGAGGAGAGAAAUCAUGUGCUUCCCUUUAAAUCCCCUUGUUUACCAAAGGAUAAGUUCAUUCUACACCUUAGCUUUUAGCCUCCAAAUUCUUCGAGACCUCGGAAGCUCCCGUUUGGCCCUUUGUAAUAAUCUUGCAAGGACCAGUUAGUCUUCGUCCUUCAUCCUCAAUGUCAGUCCAACUUUCUUAUUCCAGGUUGAGAUGUCUUUGCUUUCUUGUACUAGCUCUGAGUCUUCUAGUCGAUAGUCCACCGAAGCCCUCGCUUCACCCUCAAGUAGUCCGAGGGCAAAGCAAGUCGACUUAUCCCCUUCGGGGAAUGGGUCUCUUGAGAACCAUAGGGCUCUUCGAGACCUUAAGUCUAUGAAGAGCUUCACUACUAGUCAUAGGUGCCCUGCAAGCAUAUAUUAUUAUUGAUAUUUUUUCACUUUAUAUUAUCUAUUAUAUAUAUUAUGAUGUUCUUGGAUCUGUGCAAUAAGAAUUGAAUCAUAAUGAGAUCAUAAUAAUAAAAUCAAUUUAUAUAUAAACACAAACCAUAUAUAUUCCCGAUCAUAGGAUACUUAAGAGGGACAUCGAAAUAGCCAAAUAGACCAGUAUGCUAUAUACUCAUCCAUAUGAUGGAGGUGGCUAGUCUCAUAGUUGCCUCUAUGGGGACACUAGGGAUAUAAUGCAAGUGCUCAUUAGAGAAUGAGUUCACUGAAUGAUCCGCUCAUUAAAUGUUGGAUGGUUGAUGAUACCUCAUUGUCAGACAACAGUUCCGUAGUCUCAGUUAUGUGUUUGGUUCUUAGACUUGAGACAUUAAAGAUGUAGGAAAAUCUGGGGGGCGACAUCACAUGCACAAUGGAAGAACAUUAAAAAUAAAAUCUCCAAUUUCCCAAAGAUGUGUUCGCCAUCGUGCGAAGAUUGGUGCACAAAAUCCGUGAAACUUAAAACUACGUAUAUAAAAGAUUAUGUUAUAUAGGAAGAUUGUAUAUCCUUGAAUCCCUACAUAUCUCUAGGAGAUGGUGAAGGAGGUCAAGCGUCCUCCUCUCUAGCGGUGAUCCACACAGCAAGGCUGCGACGAUGCUCCUCAAAACUCCAAACCUUCUAUCUGAGGAAGAGAAUGGGAGGAGAAUAGGAGAUGCAACCCAAAAAGCUCUGGCCUAUGAACAAUUAGUUCCCUCCUAUUUAUAGAGGUUCCCUAUCAACUUAACCUUGAUGGAUCAUGUUGUAUUGGGUAUUGGAUCUCCAUCCAAUUACCCAAGCCUCUUAGAUUAGUGGAUCUCUACCCAAUAAUCUCUAAAUGGCUAUUAUUGGAUCUCAUUCAUGGGAUCCAAUAAUUUAAGGGCUUAUUGGAUAUCCAAUAAGAUAGGAGCUCCGAUGGAUAUCUCAUAUCUGAACCUCUACUCGUCGCAAUGUCUACCAUAUGUGUAUGACCCUCUAGACCCAAUAUCGAGCUGGCCAUGAGUCAUACAUAUCAGAACUCCUUCUGACUCAGUGAAUUAUUAUCUCAAUAAUAAUUUUUUUAAAAAAAAUUAAUAUAAUAUUUUAAAAAAAUUAAUAUAAUUAACUUAUAAAAUAUAAUAUUUUUUAAAAAUUAAUAUUUUCGAAAUAUAAUAUUUUCUCAGAACUCCUUCUGGCUCGGUCAUACACAUGAUCGAAAUAUAAUAUUUUUAAAAAAAUUAAUAUAACUAACUUAUAAGAUAAUAUCCUCUGUACUAUUAUAAAAUAUAUAUAUAUAUAUACAUAUAUAUAUAUAUACAUAUAUAUAUAUAUACACAUAUAUAUAUAUACACAUAUAUAUAUAUACACAUAUAUAUAUAUAUACAUAUAUAUAUAUAUGUAUAUAUAUAUNNNNNNNNNNNNNNNNNNNNUAUAUAUAUAUAUAUAUGUAUAUAUAUAUAUAUACAUAUAUAUAUAUACAUAUAUAUAUAUAUAUACAUAUAUAUAUAUAUAUACAUAUAUAUAUAUAUAUGUAUAUAUAUAUAUAUAUAUAUGUAUAUAUAUAUAUAUAUAUAUAUAAUCGUAAGAACGUAAAUCAUUAUAACAAACAUUAAAAACUAAUUCUCACCCCUCUUCCUCUCCGAUCAUCAUCUCAUUCCAUCAUCUUUUUCUUUUCAUCAUUUCACGUCACCUCCAGUAAUUAAGAUGUGGAAAAGGAGAAUUAAAAAGAUAAUAAAAAGGAGUUAUAUGCCAGGAUCAAAAAUAUACUACUAGAACUAAUUAUAAAUUAAAAACAUAUAUGCCUAUUUAUAAAAGGACAACUUAACAAUGUCGAAGUUCUUAACAUGGGAUUAUAAAUAACAAAAAUGAUUUGUAAUCCACUUCUUUUAUACUUGAUGUUCUUUUUGCUUGGAUGAAAAUGUCCUCAUAUUUUUACUUAAAUGAUUUAAUCAUAGAUGUUAUUAAAAAAAAUAUAAUUUAUUUAAAAAUAUAUAUUAAAUUUAUUUUCCAUAAUUACAUUAGAAGUGUGAUUCUGACUUUACAUAUUAUUUAAACCAAUAAAUCCUGGAUUUAGAACCUCGACUAUUGAUAUUUUACUUUAAUUUUUAUAUAUAAUAAUACAUUGAACAUGAAAUUUAGUUAUAUUCAUGUACAUUAUUUAAGGCUAAAUAGAAUUGGAUCAAAGUCAAACUUGGUUCAAGCUUUCGGAUGAACCAAAUCAAUGUCUAUUUCUGGUUAUCUUCCAAACCUUAUUCCAAUUCGAAUCCAAUUAAUCAAAUUGGCCGAGAUUGGAAGGUAAUAAUAUUAUUCAAAUCCAAUUCAAACCCUACUCCACCAAGAACACUAGUUUGCGGGCCCUUAGCAGCCUCCGGUCCGGGAGAGAGCAAGGAUGCAGAGAGCGACGGCGAUCGCGUCCUUCGCCCUGCGGCGUCUCGCGACAGCGGAGACGGCCCGGCCGAUGGUCUUCGCGCGGGCAGCCUCCUUGGCCGGUGCGGCCCUCUCCCGGCGCCUUUGCUCCUCACUCGACCUUCACCGCCCUAUCGCGCGCCUCCUCCCGCCUGUUUACGAGCCCUCACGUGGCUUCGCGCGGGGCCGGGAGGCCAUCCCGAGCGACGUGGAGAAAGAGGAUUCGGACGACGAGGAGGAUUUCAACGAGGACCUGGACGAUCUCGACGAGGACUUUGACAACGAGAACGAUAUCGAUGAGGAUUGGAGCGAGUUCGACGGCAACGAUUCGAGGGAAGAGUCCGAUUGAUUCACGAGUUGAUGGUGUGGUCUCCGGAAAAAUCGGUACGAAUCAUGGCUUUCUCUGUACGGUUAUUGAUCACAAAAAGGAUAAAAUAGGCUCUUUUAGGUUCAUUGAUCGAUAAAUCGAUAGGUUCUGUUUCAUUUAUUGGUAGUUGAAUUGAAAUCUCCGUUUGCAUUUGAUAAACUAUUGGUUCUUCAUCUGAUGGUUCCCCGCUUCUGCGGUCAGUUCUUCCUAAUCUUUUGUCAUCAUAAGGGUACGGUGAGCAAAUCUUUUAUCAUCGCAAAGGAUAUGGUGAGCAAUCGAUCUCUGCAACCACAGAUCAGUACCCAAAAAUUCAUAUUUAAGAGUAGAAUCAAGUUCCUAUCUCACCUGUUGGUCUUUAUCAGACAUGCAACAGUCUAUUUAAGUAUAUCGACUUAAACUAAUACUCUUAUCAUAACCAAUAAAAAUAAAAAUAAAAAACUCAAAGCAAAUCCAUAGCAUUUAUAAACAAUCUCUAACACCAAAUCCAUAGGAUUCGUUGUCUUCGGACCUUAUCAAGGAAAUAUUUAUCUAUAUUUAAUCAUCAACACGUAAGAUGAGAAAUGACAUUGAUUUCUCAUGAUCAUUCAAAAAAGAUUUAAUAUGAGAGACAAAGAUCUUAACAAGAAUAUGAUAAUUGGCAUUACAAAGUUAACCCCCUCCUUGAGUAAGAUCAAAAUAUGAUAAAAACUAACAAAGGUUGAAACCUAGGGAUCCCCCACAAUCUCCCAAUAAUGUUGGUAGAACACUAUUUUCCCAAAGCCUAAGGGCCUAACAAAAUCUCAAAUCUCCUACUUAUUGGAAGGACAAAUAAUAUUAUCAUUUUGAACAUUCAAAAUAACCCCUUCUACCCAUGUCCCUAAUCAAAAAAUUGAGAAAACCAACAAUAAUAGCUCCAUCAUCACUCCACAGGUUAGAAUAAAAACCCAUAAACUCUUUCAUAAUAAGAUUAGGUUCAUAAAAGACAUUCAUAAAUAUUGUGAAUAAGUGUCCUUCUACGCCUAAUCAUAAUCAAGUUGUAAUCGAUCUAUCUGUAUUUAGCCUUAAGGUUAACUUGUCUAAUUAACGCUUAAAACCUUUUGUACAACUUGACCAAAUUAGAAAUAUCAUUUUCGAUGAGGCCGGCAUUGGCAUUCCUAGAACUCUAAUCUAUCUAUCUAUCUAUCUCACCCUUGGUUUUAGAAUACAAAACCAGUUUCAUUUGGACAUAAUACCCUUAAGAGAGCAAAGAUUAUCAAAAAAAAUUAGAAUACAUAACAAAUUGAAGAAAACCUUUAGCAACACUUAAUUAGUUUUUUUGACCUCAACAUAUUCAUUCUAAAAACUUUGGCAUCAGAAUAAUUUUUUCUUAAGAUAUGAUUUUGUCAAAACCUCAAUACAUAUAGGGUAAUGAUGUGAAGAUCCCCUAGGGAGAUAAAAAGUACCUUAGAUCGUCAAAAACACAUAAUUAGCCAAUUAGAAUUAGCAAUAGCUCUAUCGAGCCUCAUCAAAAUUCUAGCUGUAAGGAUUCUUGGAGAAACCUUAGAUCAUUGAUCCCAACCAAAUAGGAAAAUAUUUAAAAAGUACGAAUUGAAGAAGAAUUAUAAAAAUCUUUACCUCCUUUCUUUAUCCUUCCUACUUAAAAUAUAAUUAAAAUCUCCGAUCAAAUACUAAGAGAGAUACGAAAAAUCUAUAGUCAGAAUAAUUUUUGACAGAUAUAUUUGUACUUGCAUAAAUAAAUAAAUAAGUAAAAGUAAAAAAAUCGUAUGUAUUGAGAAUGGAACGAGACAACCUCGUGACUGGUAAAAGGCAAGAAGACAAAUUGCAUGAAAAGAUAAAGAUAAGUCUCUUAGUACAAUGCAGGGUUUGUUGCACCAAAGAGGAUUUAAUGCUGAUCCUACUUGAAUCUUUUGCCAUGCAUCUUUAAAUUUAUAUCUUCUGUUUAUGUGAUGUCUGAACUUGUCAGUAGCGACAGAGUCUUUUUGAAGAUCUGGAGAUUAACAAAAACUAAUUCGGUAGCAAUCAUGAUGUUACUGAGUCCUAAAUUUACAAAGAGGAAAAAACAAAAUGUGGGUGGAUUGAGGAUUUAGAGAUUAUCUUGAGGCAUACGUGCGGAGUUAAUCUUGGAUCUCAAGUUCACUGACUCGUGUUCAUGUUCAAAGCUUCUCACUAGACAUUCAUUUGCAUAUUGUCAAAGAGAAUAGAGAGGUCAAGGGCAAGGUUAUAGGCAUAGUUGCUUUAGAAGCUAUGUGUUCGCAAGUGGAACGAGUUCAAGAACGAUAACUCUACAAGAUGAGCUUUGGAGUUCAAGAACGAGAACUCUUACAAGAACGAAGCUAUGAGAUAACGAAGUACAAACAAGUAAAUCUUGCAAUCGCAUACACGUAGCAUUACCUAAAUAUAUAUAUAUGACUUUGUGGUGCAAAAUCCACAAACCUAAACAUCAUGAAAUCAUAACAAAAUAACUAAUGCUGCAGUGCCCCAACAAAAUUACAGCCUCCAUUUAAUUUAUAGCACCAAAGUGGCCGCUCAAAAGAUAUCUUCUUUGGGACAACCAAGGCAAAAUAUUGCUCAUUACAGAAAACCAGGAGUUUAGCCAUGUCAUAUGAUCAAGUUGGUUGGAGAAAGAACUCGACCAGAUGCUCGCAGCACCGGUGAUGUCUCGAGUUACAAACUAUGAACAUAAAUCACGAAAGAAAACCACUGUUGCCUUAUUGAAUACGCUGCUUAUGCCACAUUUUCUAUCUUCAGGAUCCAAAUAAAGGGGGAAGAUAAAGAGCCAGCGGUAGAGUGCAUCAGGGAAACGUUAGCACGGCAACAGAAGUUUGUGCAUAGACACCAGGAUUCAUGCUUUGCACACACUUGGUUACUUGCCAAAGAAAUGCACACCAAUGUUCACAAAAGCAAACAGACAAUGGCCAUCGUGCACAAGAAUGAUGAUCAAUCAUCGAG